CACGUAGGCACCAAGCGUUGUCCGGAUUUAUUGGGCGUAAAGAGCUCGUAGGCGGCUCGGUAAGUCGGGUGUGAAACCUCCAGGCUCAACCUGGAGACGCCACCUGAUACUGCUGUGGCUAGAGUCCGGUAGGGGAGUGUGGAACUCCUGGUGUAGCGGUGAAAUGCGCAGAUAUCAGGAGGAACACCGGUGGCGAAGGCGGGUCUCUGGGCCGAUACUGACGCUGAGGAGCGAAAGCGUGGGGAGCGAACAGG
RNAcentral lists this ribosomal RNA (254 nucleotides) under uncultured bacterium. RNAcentral's name for it is "partial 16S ribosomal RNA". It matches the Rfam family "Bacterial small subunit ribosomal RNA", at positions 524 to 776 of the family's 1533-position model. The record is from RNAcentral.